UAAUGGACCUGAAUGGCAAAAGUCAAUCUGA
RNAcentral lists this non-coding RNA (31 nucleotides) under Homo sapiens (human). Lineage: Eukaryota; Metazoa; Chordata; Mammalia; Primates; Hominidae. The record is from RNAcentral.